CGAGUUAUCUGAACCUUCGGGGAACGAUAACGGCGUCGAGCGGCGGACGGGUGAGUAAUGCCUAGGAAAUUGCCCUGAUGUGGGGGAUAACCAUUGGAAACGAUGGCUAAUACCGCAUGAUGCCUACGGGCCAAAGAGGGGGACCUUCGGGCCUCUCGCGUCAGGAUAUGCCUAGGUGGGAUUAGCUAGUUGGUGAGGUAAGGGCUCACCAAGGCGACGAUCCCUAGCUGGUCUGAGAGGAUGAUCAGCCACACUGGAACUGAGACACGGUCCAGACUCCUACGGGAGGCAGCAGUGGGGAAUAUUGCACAAUGGGCGCAAGCCUGAUGCAGCCAUGCCGCGUGUGUGAAGAAGGCCUUCGGGUUGUAAAGCACUUUCAGUCGUGAGGAAGGUGGUGUAGUUAAUAGCUGCAUUAUUUGACGUUAGCGACAGAAGAAGCACCGGCUAACUCCGUGCCAGCAGCCGCGGUAAUACGGAGGGUGCGAGCGUUAAUCGGAAUUACUGGGCGUAAAGCGCAUGCAGGUGGUUUGUUAAGUCAGAUGUGAAAGCCCGGGGCUCAACCUCGGAAU
RNAcentral lists this ribosomal RNA (569 nucleotides) under Vibrio harveyi. Its description in RNAcentral is "bacterial SSU rRNA". It matches the Rfam family "Bacterial small subunit ribosomal RNA", at positions 63 to 621 of the family's 1533-position model. The record is from RNAcentral. Lineage: Bacteria; Pseudomonadati; Pseudomonadota; Gammaproteobacteria; Vibrionales; Vibrionaceae.